AAAGGAAAGGGAGGUACGGGAUUUCGGGAUCUGAGAUCUUUUAACCAACCCCUCUUAGGUAAACAAGCGUGGCGGUUAUUGGUUCAUCCAGACUCGUUGUGUCCUAAGCUGAUGAAGGCAAAGUAUUAUCCUCAGGGACAUAUUCUUGAUACGGUGUUUCCGCAUUCUGCAUCAGUGACUUGGCAAGGUAUGAUGCAUGGUCUGAAACUACUUAAGAAGGGAGUCAUUUGGCGGGUGGGUGAUGGAUCUAGCAUUAAUAUUUGGAGGGAUAAUUGGUUACCCAGGAGCUCUGGUCUUAAAAUUUCAGCUAAAAGGCACAAUGAGAAAGGUUCUUGA
This 336-nucleotide ribosomal RNA is filed under the name Triticum aestivum (bread wheat). RNAcentral's name for it is "partial small subunit ribosomal RNA". The record is from RNAcentral. Lineage: Eukaryota; Viridiplantae; Streptophyta; Magnoliopsida; Poales; Poaceae.